This 484-nucleotide ribosomal RNA is filed under the name uncultured bacterium. Its description in RNAcentral is "partial 16S ribosomal RNA". It matches the Rfam family "Bacterial small subunit ribosomal RNA", at positions 30 to 507 of the family's 1533-position model. The record is from RNAcentral.
AUUGAACGCUGGCGGCAGGCCUAACACAUGCAAGUCGAGCGGAUGAAGGGAGCUUGCUCCUGGAUUCAGCGGCGGACGGGUGAGUAAUGCCUAGGAAUCUGCCUGGUAGUGGGGGAUAACGUCCGGAAACGGGCGCUAAUACCGCAUACGUCCUGAGGGAGAAAGUGGGGGAUCUUCGGACCUCACGCUAUCAGAUGAGCCUAGGUCGGAUUAGCUAGUUGGUGGGGUAAAGGCCUACCAAGGCGACGAUCCGUAACUGGUCUGAGAGGAUGAUCAGUCACACUGGAACUGAGACACGGUCCGGACUCCUACGGGAGGCAGCAGUGGAGAAUAUUGGACAAUGGGCGAAAGCCUGAUCCAGCCAUGCCGCGUGUGUGAAGAAGGUCUUCGGAUUGUAAAGCACUUUAAGUUGGGAGGAAGGGCAGUAAGUUAAUACCUUGCUGUUUUGACGUUACCAACAGAAUAAGCACCGGCUAACUUCGUG